Molecule: ribosomal RNA, 179 nt
Filed under: uncultured bacterium
Lineage: Bacteria
Description: partial 16S ribosomal RNA
Rfam family: Bacterial small subunit ribosomal RNA
Source: RNAcentral
AAGUCGGAAUCGCUAGUAAUCGCGGAUCAGCAUGCCGCGGUGAAUACGUUCCCGGGCCUUGUACACACCGCCCGUCACACCAUGAGAGUCGGGAACACCCGAAGUCCGUAGCCUAACCAAUCUGGAGGGCGCGGCCGAAGGUGGGUUCGAUAAUUGGGGUGAAGUCGUAACAAGGUAUC